UGCGUAGGUGGGCAGGUAAGUCAGUGGUGAAAUCUCUAAGCUUAACUUAGAAACUGCCGUUGAUACUAUCUGUCUUGAAUGUAGUGGAGGUGAGCGGAAUAUGUCAUGUAGCGGUGAAAUGCUUAGAUAUGACAUAGAACACCCAUUGCGAAGGCAGCUCGCUACACUAUUAUUGACACUGAGGCACGAAAGCGUGGGAUCAAACAGGAUUAGAUACCCUGGUAGUCCACGCCCUAAACGAUGGAUACUCGACAUCAGCGAUACACUGUUGGUGUCUGAGCGAAAGCAUUAAGUAUCCCACCUGGGGAAGUACGACCGCUAAGGUUGAA
RNAcentral lists this ribosomal RNA (329 nucleotides) under uncultured bacterium. RNAcentral's name for it is "bacterial SSU rRNA". It matches the Rfam family "Bacterial small subunit ribosomal RNA", at positions 568 to 898 of the family's 1533-position model. The record is from RNAcentral.